RNAcentral lists this ribosomal RNA (429 nucleotides) under Gemmatimonadota bacterium. Its description in RNAcentral is "Gemmatimonadetes bacterium partial 16S ribosomal RNA". It matches the Rfam family "Bacterial small subunit ribosomal RNA", at positions 355 to 776 of the family's 1533-position model. Lineage: Bacteria; Pseudomonadati; Gemmatimonadota. The record is from RNAcentral.
UAGGGAAUCUUCGGCAAUGGACGAAAGUCUGACCGAGCAACGCCGCGUGAGUGAAGAAGGUUUUCGGAUCGUAAAACUCUGUUGUUAGAGAAGAACAAGGACGUUAGUAACUGAACGUCCCCUGACGGUAUCUAACCAGAAAGCCACGGCUAACUACGUGCCAGCAGCCGCGGUAAUACGUAGGUGGCAAGCGUUGUCCGGAUUUAUUGGGCGUAAAGCGAGCGCAGGCGGUUUCUUAAGUCUGAUGGGAAAGCCCCCGGCUCAACCGGGGAGGGUCAUUGGAAACUGGGAGACUUGAGUGCAGAAGAGGAGAGUGGAAUUCCAUGUGUAGCGGUGAAAUGCGAAGAUAUAUGGAGGAACACAAGUGGCGAAGGCGUCUCUCUGGUCUGUAACUGACGCUGAGGCUCGAAAGCGUGGGGAGCAAACAGG